AUACUUACCUGGCAAGGGAGACACCGUGAUCACCAAGGCGGUUCACCCAGGGCGAGGCUCGGCCAUUGCACUCCGCUGUGCUGACCCCUGCGAAUUUCCCAAAUGUGGAAAUCUCGAUUGCAUAAUUUCUGGUAGUGGGGGACUGCGUUCGCGCUCUCCUCCC
Molecule: small nuclear RNA, 163 nt
Gene: U1
Rfam family: U1 spliceosomal RNA
About the family: U1 is a small nuclear RNA (snRNA) component of the spliceosome (involved in pre-mRNA splicing). Its 5' end forms complementary base pairs with the 5' splice junction, thus defining the 5' donor site of an intron.
Source: Ensembl